UAUGAGACUUAGCCACAAGCAGGCAGGCAGACAGGCAUAAGCUGCAGUCCACAGCCUAUUCACAGGCAAAUAGCAUGCUGGUCGCUUAGAAGCUACAUAGAAGCCUCUCCUUGAAGCCAAAGUAUUGGUUUAGGAAACGAUACUUUUGUUUAUGGGAAAGGGAAAAGGAGACAACAGGAAGAAGGCUGAAGAUGCAGAUAAGAAAGGAUGAGCCUUAUUCUGGAACUUGUCACAUCAGUGUUGCUUCUUAGGUGAUUAAAAAGAAGCAGCGGGAUCUUGGAGAAAACGUCUGACAAAAGAACUUUGUACCUCCUGACUCAUUCAUUUUGUGGCUCCCUCUGGAUUGCACAUUUUGGCAUCCUUUGGAAGAUCCAGAAGUCCACAUGUUGGAUAUGAAUCUAGAGCUGUGGUUGCUGCAAAGUCUUGGUGAAAAUCAGAAAUGUACAACGGAAUGAGCACAGGCCCUGGUAUGAAGACACAGGAUGCUGAAUGCCAACUCCACUUAUGAGUUAGGACAGGACUGAGCGACUGAGCUGAACUGAACUGAGCCUUCAUCCAGUCAUUUAUGCUUCCAGAGCCCCAGUCUUUUCAUCUGUCAUGUGGGGGUUCAUCGUUAUGACCACCCUACCUCACCCUCACCAUCUAUUCUUCCCACUACUCUGCCCUCCAGUCAUAGGGAACUACUUGAAUUCUCCAACAGAUUCACCAUGUCAUAUUCUUCAAAUCCAGGAUCUUCUGAGAAGCCUUUCUGCUGCCUCAGUGGGCUUCAGUAGCAUCCAGUGUGGACCAACCAGAGCUGGACAGGGUCUACUCCGCAAAGGGAGAAGGUGGCCAGCAUUGACUUUGCUAGGUUGUUUUCCUCAUCUUUGUCCUUACCUGGACCUCUUAAUAGAAGACAAAAGGUAAUGCAAGAUAAACAUCCUCAGAGACAUCUUUUUGGUUUGGGUUUUCAUGGAUUGUGAUCACCAAAAGGUUCCUUACCUGCCUCUAGAGGAAAAAUGAUUGUUUUGGCCUCUACUGUCCAACCAACCCUUUAUGUCUUAGAGGACAGUGAUAGUUCAAAUGCAUAAUAGUGAUUUUCCAUUUCUUCUAAUUUUGGAUUUUGGCCCCUGGAGGUGAUGUUAAUACCCACGACCAAAUAGGAAUUUAUUGAUAUCAAUUUUCAUAAGUCACCUACCAAGUAUGCAUGCAAACCAGUAACCUGGAUGUUGGAGACAUAGUAUCCCAUCACUCAUCCCUAGAUCCAUAAUCUUCCUUUUCUCUGCUUGCCUCACCUUCCUUCCUCUGGGUAAUAAGUCAGACUGGUCUAAGUGUGCUGGUGCGUUUACUCAUUUAUUUAACCAACAUGUCUUUCUAUUAUAUGCCAGCCAGUGAACAGAGUAUUGGGGAUGCAAAACCCAACAAGUUGGGGUUGUUAUGUUACAGCUUCUAUUUUAGUAAAAUUAUAGACAAGUCAUUAGGCAGUUUUAAUCCAAAGUAGUAAGGGCUAUGGGAACACAUGUGAGGAAACCUAACCCAACCUUAAGGAACCUGGAAGGUUGAAAUCUCUUGCAGAGGACUGAAAGAGUGAGGGUGAGAAGGUGAGGGAAGGGGUGUGGAGGGGAGGGAAGGAGAGGAAUCGCAUUUGCUAAGGAGGGAGUAUUCCUAGAGCAUAGUCAGAGAAUAUUCCAAGGGAACAGGAAAACAGGGAAGUCUUCGGCUUGUUCUUUCUUUGAGAUUUGUUGGGGAUAUGGUUUUUCCAGUAUUUUGAAUCUAAAUUUGUUUCUGGGUGUGUGUGUGUGUGUGUACCUAUCUUCUUACCUCUUUUUACCUAUUUCCUGCCUAAUGGCCUCAGACCCAGAAAAAGAAGAAUUAAAUAGGGUAAGAUGUUGGGACUGGACCCAAAUAUGCUUUCAUUCUUCUACAAGUGCCUGAUUAUAGUUUCAGGGAGACAGUGAUUAAAGACACAAGGGGGACUGUGUCUACAUUUUAAGGCACCAACAUACAGGGGCAAAUGUACUCGAAAAUGACCGAUCAAAAAACAUGGCUCCUGAGGUACGUAUGCAGCUGUGACUGGCAAGAACAGAACAGUGAUUUUUGUGUCAAUGCAGGACAAAGUUGAAGUAACCUGGAAUAGACAAUUUUAUGAAACUUAUCUGGAAUUUCCAAGGAAGGCUCAGAUGAUUCAGAUGCAGAAGUCCACAGAGCCCAAUUUUAAGAAACAAUGCUCUGAGAGAAUCUGCUUAAAAUGAGAUGUUUAAUUUCCUUUUUUUUUUUUUCUGCGCCUCCAUGGAAUUGUUUUCCAUUCAUUUUUGGCUCUUCCUUAAGACAUUCCCACUUGAUGACAUAGAGAGAGCACAUUUGCAAAUCGCAUUCAGGGUGGUGAGAGAUAAUGAAAUUGAAGUGUCAGCAGUUUGCAAAAGGAAGCCUUCCCCCCCUCCCAAGCUCUGUUAUUACCUUAUUCAAUUUGCACUUUAUUUUGAAGCACAUGUAUAGAUAUAAGCAAAUUAUUAAUUCAAGCUUGUCUUCAAUUUUGUGCUUGGCCUGCAAACCUCUAACAUCUCUCCCAGUUCCCCAGGCAGACUGCUGAAGGCUUGGUGAUAGGCUGAGGCGGGCAUAUUCAUUAUUCAAUAUGAGCUGUAAGCAAUUUGAUAUUUCAUGUGCGCAUAUGGCAGAGCUGAGAGCAAGGUGGGAAAAGUGUCAUUCGGGGGAACGCGAUCUAGGCUGCUACCAUUUUCAUGUUUAGCUGAAGGCUUAACAUUAGCUAUGCUCAGAGGUUCCAAGGUUAAGGAUAAUUCCAUUGAGAAUCCUGGUUACAGCCAGGUAUUUGUGUCCCUGUGACACGGCCUAUUUCUCUGCACAGGAGAGCGCACCUUGAGCCAGGCCUUAUGCUCAGCAUCGCAGGUUUUGUGUGUUUCAUCUGGAGCGCUGAGAAUAAUGAGAUCCUGAGCAGGAAAGGGCAGAGUCCCUGGAAAGCAGCUACACUUGGUAGAGGUGGGGAAAUGCCCCCUGCUCCGAGGCUCUGGGAGCAUUUCUAGAUGGCAUCCAUGUCGUCCGUCAGCACCUCUGUCCCACUGGUGGGCACCCACAGUGUUUGAAAGAGUCCCGGACCUUAUGCAGGUUAUAGGAGAAAUGUGCCUACUGUCUUCCUUCCUCACACAGCUCAGAGUCUUUUCUCUUUCUCUGUAUUUGUAGGUUACCACUAGGCUCUAGGAUUAUAGAACAAAAAGGUCAGUUCAUUUCUUUCAAUGUCUCUGGUUUUACUAUUUGAAAACUUGGGGUUAGAGAAGUGAGGCGAUUUGUCCUGGGACAUGUAGCGAGUUAGAUACAGUCCAAGGGCCAGAACAAUUGAGUGAUCUUUUUCCUGAGAGAGCGAAUACCCUGGAACAUACUGAGAGCUCAGUUUAUAUGUGCCAACAUGAAGUCUUUUGUAAACUGUAAUAUUCUCUUCAAAAGUUCAGUCCAAGACAUGUUCAUUUUCAAAACCUUCAUCUUCAGACAUCAGCAAAUGCCUUCCUGGCUAUCUGAGAGCUCGUGCCUGCAACUUUUGGAGUUCUGGAAGCUGAAUCUGGUGCCUUCUCCUUCUCCCAUCCCUCCUGCUUUCAUCAUGUUUUGUGGGUGGAUGGCUCGGAUCUUCCAUGGUUGCUCUGUUAACUGAAUAAUAUCAGGGGUCACUUUGGAAUGAGAGCAAUCCUUAUGUCUAGAAUAAACAAUGUGGUUUCUUUAAGCAACAGAUCUGCAGUUGAUGGUCCAGGUUGCUCCUCUGACUCAUUUUGCUUACCAAAGACUGAAAUGCCUACUUAAUUGGCAAGUAAGGACACUCAGGGCAUAAAUAGUGCGGCUAAAUAAUACAGGAGACAGUGGUGUUUUAGGUGAACUGCUGGGGCAAAUUAACAUAGCACUCUAUUAGAGUACAGAGUGAAGUUAGAAAGAUGAAGACUUAAAAAUCUACUUUCCUUGGAGCAACGUUAAGGAGCUUUUGAAUUCCCAUUCUGUAUUUUCUUUAGCUCUCAUUUUUCACCCUAGUGCAUGCACACACACAUGCAGACACACACCAUACUCGCUCACACAACAUCUACACACAUACUCGCAUUCACACACACACACACACACACUUGCUCACACAGACCUCUGCACAUAUACUCACAUUAACACACACACAGUUGAGUCCAUUGUUAGACUCCAGAUGUGACUCUAAAGCAGUGGUUUUUCCAGUGUGGUCUGAGGAAACCUGUGGGUCUUGAGAUUCUUUCAGGGAUUCUGUAAAAUCAGGCUGUUAUUCUUAUAGCAUUAAAAUGUUGCCUAUCUUUCUGACUCUCAUUUUUCCAUAGUGUACAGUGUUUUCCAGAACACACACAACAGGAGCAGGUAUGAGAAUCUGGCAAUUUUCUCUUAAGCUAGACAUUAAGCAGAUUUGCAAAGAUGUAAAACAAUGCUGUUAUUCUUGGUAAAUUUUGUUUUAUUCUGUAAAAUGUAGCAAUUUUACAUAAAUAUAUGUCACCUAUAUAAAUAUGUAGUGGGUUUAUUAUUAUUAUUUUAAAAUGAACCAGCAAAUGUUUUAUACAUUUCUCAGUUUUAAUUUCUGGUAUGGUAAAUUUCAAUAGUCAUAACUCAUAUAAAUAAAAGUUCUUUGGAGUCUUGCAUAAUUUUUAAAAGUGCAGAGGGGUCCUGAGGCCAAGCAUUUAAAAAUCACUUCUCAAAAGUGAUGAGACUGUUUCUCUCUCUAACAGAUGCUGUAGCAUACAUCAAGUGAGGGUUUCUUCUUUCAAAACAGUCACUUUGAAAUCCUAUAUUCCUAGGUCAGUGAUGUCAUUGCUCAGUCAAUUUUUAAAUCUCCCAUUUUAGAGCUGUCUUGUUGGCUAGUUUUUUAUUUUAUCUUCAAACUUCAUUUUUGAUCCAUCAUGCUUAAUCUCCAUCAAUAAACUACAUUGCUAAUUAAACCAGGCUUCAAAUGACUUUGGACUCUUUGCAACAGUAAAAUCCAUCACUCAAGGUACCAGUAUCUGGACCAAGUAUCAGAAAGAUAUACCUGAGUUCAGAAUACAAUUCCUCAAAAGGAGCUACAAAAAUAUUUUGAUAAUAGCAGUAUCGUGGGAAUUUUAUAGCUUUCAAGGAUUCCGCUUUGAGAGAGAUACCUUCGUUGAGAAUGUUGAAGUCCUGCCAUAUUUGUUAAAACUUGAUUUCAUUAUUUUACUGUUUCAUCUCAUAGCUCGAAAAUAUAGGACAUACACCUAAACGUAGUUUGUAUUUUCAAACCAAGUGCAUAUUUCUAUACUAAAAUAAAAUUUUAUAAGCUGUCAUAUACCUUUUUGGUUGAGUAAUAACGGUAUCUUAUUUUCAGUGCUCUGUGAUAACCUUCAGACAGAUAAGUACAAGUGAAUGCCUUACCCCACUGAUGUCUCAUAGACCCUCCACUGGACAGGCAGUCUUCUGGUGCUACUUUUAUUUUUCCUUGGCUUCACCGAGUGGCUUAUGGGAUCUUAGUUCCCUCAGACGAGACUUAACCUGUACCGUGGCUGUGGAAGCACUGAGUUCUAAGCACUGGACUGCCAGGGAAUUCCCCUGUUGGUGCUAUUUUUAAAAGGAUGAAUUAUGUUUUUGGUAUUCAGGGGAGGCUUUCUGGUGUUAUAUUUUAGAACAGGUUGUACACUUUCUAGGAAAGAAAAAGAUGGAAGCACGCUUUGCAAAUCUUUUAGAAAAGAGAAAUCUCAGCAUUUCUUGUUAGAGUCAUCUUUCACUUGAUUGUGUAGCAUCAUUUGCAGGUGAAUUACCCAGGGGAGUUUUGGUGGUGUCCAGGAUAAGACUGAAGGGUUAAAUGCGAUCAUUACUCUGAACAAUGGAGGAUAACCUAUUGUGUCUUCUAGAGAGAGACACAGGGUAUUGAUCCAGUUCCGCUGUGCAGCACUUUGCUUUGCUUAUCAGUGAAUUUUAAACAGAAAACAUCUUGAAGAUGCAGGAGCAGAGGCAUUUUCAGAAACAUCAGGGAUAGGCAGGCUCUUGAGUUUACAGUGUAGGAGCCUACACCUACAUCACUGAAUUAUCUAAUGUUAGAGUUUUUUUUUUUUUUAAUAAUAGGAAACUACAUGGGUUGAUAGAUUAUAAACUGGCUCAUCCAUUUACAUGCUUCUCUUCACUUUCUCACUUCUCCCAUUGCAAUCUCUGGCACAUGUGAUUUACUUAGAGGUACUUGUAUAUAAUGUGUUCAGUGAACAUCCCUGAAAACAAAAGAGGAACAGCUGAACACUUCUUCCAGUGUUUCUUUUCUUGAAAGUAUUAUGUACAUUAGGACAAUUAUUUUGUGUGUCUAUAUAUCAUAUAUUUUGUAACCUUGUGUAUAUUAUGUUUUAUUACUUCACAGUGAGCACAGAAGCUCAGGUCAAGUACUAUGUUUAUAACCAAAGACUGAUGUCAGAGUUGAGAUUCAAACAGAGUCUUUUUGGCUCCAAAGCACAAACUCUUUGCAGUACAUCAAACCAGUUUUUCCUUCCCCAAUAAAAGAGUCAGUUGAGAUGGAAGUUUGUUGUUUUUUUUUUCUUUUAAAGUGAACUAGUUUAAGCAUUAUUCUGAAAAUUGUAUUAUGAUGAACUGUGAUGGUAUGUUAUGUUUCCCCAUAAUAUCCUGCUUAAAGUCAUGACUAGAUGGAUGAUAAUUGACUAAGGGGUGGGGAACCCAGAUCUUCCCCUGGGGAAGGAUCUGUGUUGGGCUGGAGAGGUGAGGCAGUAA
This is an RNA transcript of Cervus elaphus (red deer), 6702 nucleotides long. It is a transcript of the gene named histone-lysine N-methyltransferase SUV39H2-like, with no coding region annotated. The transcript is spliced from 7 exons. The record is from RefSeq and is a predicted model, not a curated record. Lineage: Eukaryota; Metazoa; Chordata; Mammalia; Artiodactyla; Cervidae.